RNAcentral lists this ribosomal RNA (433 nucleotides) under uncultured bacterium. RNAcentral's name for it is "partial 16S ribosomal RNA". It matches the Rfam family "Bacterial small subunit ribosomal RNA", at positions 29 to 507 of the family's 1533-position model. The record is from RNAcentral.
AACGAACGCUGGCGGCAUGCCUAACACAUGCAAGUCGAACGAGACCUUCGGGUCUAGUGGCGCACGGGUGCGUAACGCGUGGGAACCUGCCCUUAGGUUCGGAAUAACUCCCCGAAAGGGGUGCCAAUACCGGAUAAUGUCUUCGGACCAAAGAUUUAUCGCCUUUGGAUGGGCCCGCGUUGGAUUAGCUAGUUGGUAGGGUAAAAGCUUACCAAGGCGACGAUCCAUAGCUGGUCUGAGAGGAUGAUCAGCCACACUGGGACUGAGACACGGCCCAGACUCCUACGGGAGGCAGCAGUGGGGAAUAUUGGACAAUGGGCGAAAGCCUGAUCCAGCAAUGCCGCGUGAGUGAUGAAGGCCUUAGGGUUGUAAAGCUCUUUUACCCGGGAUGAUAAUGACAGUACCGGGAGAAUAAGCUCCGGCUAACUCCGUG